UCAUCACCAAGCGCCUGCUGUGUACUGUCUAUGUGUGUGUACCCUAUAUGUCAAUGUGUUUACCGCAUCUGCUUUGCUCUAAAGGCUUAAAAAGUAGAAACAGACCCAUACUCAAAGCCUGUUGUUCACAGACUUCGGCAAACCGUGUGUCACUUGUUUAUUGUCUGGUAGGCUAACUGGUAUAUUUGUAAGGGUAGCAGUGGACUUUGUCUGGCUAUCUCCACCUUCUGCCACAGUGUGUUAUGUGUUGCAUUUAGCUUGAGGCUAACUUGGCCAGAGGAGAAGAUCUUAGCAGCUUGCUCAGAGAAUGGACAGUGAAAUCCAACGAGAUGGGAGAGUCCUGGACCUCACUGAUGACGCCUGGAGGGAAGACAGACUGCCGUAUGAAGACGUCACCAUCCCUCUGGCUCCCCAGAGUCUGUGAAAGAACAAGAGAUGAAGUGGAUAGACCUCGCCCUGCAGAGCCUGCAUGAAAACACACCGAGCACCGGCAGCUGAAAGACUAAUCUGGAAUCGGACUGUAAGACAACAUGCAUGAGGACACCGGAUUCAGACACAUUGUAUUGUGUCUUUUGAAGGAUUUGCAGGAUGUUCCACUUUCAGCUAAGCAGAAAUUGUGCAUACAUGUAUUUCACAUUGGUAUUGGGUUUAUAUUGUAGUCUGUAUGAAUAUUAAAUAACAACUUUGUAAUAACAAUCAAUGGAAAAGAGUCA
Molecule: long non-coding RNA, 713 nt
Organism: Perca flavescens (yellow perch)
Lineage: Eukaryota; Metazoa; Chordata; Actinopteri; Perciformes; Percidae
Exons: 2
Source: RefSeq, a predicted model, not a curated record